RNAcentral lists this ribosomal RNA (477 nucleotides) under uncultured bacterium. Its description in RNAcentral is "partial 16S ribosomal RNA". It matches the Rfam family "Bacterial small subunit ribosomal RNA", at positions 28 to 507 of the family's 1533-position model. The record is from RNAcentral.
GAUGAACGCUGGCGGCGUGCCUAACACAUGCAAGUCGAACGAGAUGCGUAUUGGAAAGCUUCGUCCGGAAGAUGCGUUAUCUAGUGGCGGACGGGUGAGUAACACGUGGGUAACCUGCCUUAUGGAGGGGGAUAACAGAGAGAAAUCACUGCUAAUACCGCAUAAGCACACAUUGCCGCAUGGCAGAGUGUGAAAAGAUUUAUCGCCAUAAGAUGGACCCGCGUCUGAUUAGCCAGUUGGCAGGGUAAAAGCCUACCAAAGCAACGAUCAGUAGCCGAUCUGAGAGGAUGACCGGCAACAUUGGGACUGAGACACGGCCCAAACUCCUACGGGAGGCAGCAGUGGGGAAUAUUGCACAAUGGGGGAAACCCUGAUGCAGCGACGCCGCGUGAGUGAAGAAGUAUUUCGGUAUGUAAAGCUCUAUCAGCAGGGAAGAUAAUGACAGUACCUGACUAAGAAGCCCCGGCUAACUACGUG